UGGGUCACACGUGGGUAAUCUGCCCUUCACUCUGGGACAAGCCCUGGAAACGGGGUCUAAUACCGGAUAACACUCUGUCCUGCAUGGGACGGGGUUAAAAGCUCCGGCGGUGAAGGAUGAGCCCGCGGCCUAUCAGCUUGUUGGUGGGGUAAUGGCCUACCAAGGCGACGACGGGUAGCCGGCCUGAGAGGGCGACCGGCCACACUGGGACUGAGACACGGCCCAGACUCCUACGGGAGGCAGCAGUGGGGAAUAUUGCACAAUGGGCGAAAGCCUGAUGCAGCGACGCCGCGUGAGGGAUGACGGCCUUCGGGUUGUAAACCUCUUUCAGCAGGGAAGAAGCGAAAGUGACGGUACCUGCAGAAGAAGCGCCGGCUAACUACGUGCCAGCAGCCGCGGUAAUACGUAGGGCGCAAGCGUUGUCCGGAAUUAUUGGGCGUAAAGAGCUCGUAGGCGGCUUGUCACGUCGGAUGUGAAAGCCCGGGGCUUAACCCCGGGUCUGCAUUCGAUACGGGCUAGCUAGAGUGUGGUAGGGGAGAUCGGAAUUCCUGGUGUAGCGGUGAAAUGCGCAGAUAUCAGGAGGAACACCGGUGGCGAAGGCGGAUCUCUGGGCCAUUACUGACGCUGAGGAGCGAAAGCGUGGGGAGCGAACAGGAUUAGAUACCCUGGUAGUCCACGCCGUAAACGUUGGGAACUAGGUGUUGGCGACAUUCCACGUCGUCGGUGCCGCAGCUAACGCAUUAAGUUCCCCGCCUGGGGAGUACGGCCGCAAGGCUAAAACUCAAAGGAAUUGACGGGGGGCCCGCACAAGCAGCGGAGCAUGUGGCUUAAUUCGACGCAACGCGAAGAACCUUACCAAGGCUUGACAUAUACCGGAAAAGCAUCAGAAGAUGGUGCCCCCCUUUGGUGGUCGGUAUACAGGUGGUGCAUGGCUGUCGUCAGCUCGUGUCGUGAGAUGUUGGGUUAAGUCCCGCAACGAGCGCAACCCUUGUUCUGUGUUGCCAGCAUGCCCUUCGGGGUGAUGGGGACUCACAGGAGACUGCCGGGGUCAACUCGGAGGAAGGUGGGGACGACGUCAAGUCAUCAUGCCCCUUAUGUCUUGGGCUGCACACGUGCUACAAUGGCCGGUACAAUGAGCUGCGAUGCCGCGAGGCGGAGCGAAUCUCAAAAAGCCGGUCUCAGUUCGGAUUGGGGUCUGCAACUCGCCCCCAUGAAGUCGGAGUUGCUAGUAAUCGCAGAUCAGCAUU
RNAcentral lists this ribosomal RNA (1247 nucleotides) under Streptomyces sp. Its description in RNAcentral is "bacterial SSU rRNA". It matches the Rfam family "Bacterial small subunit ribosomal RNA", at positions 107 to 1356 of the family's 1533-position model. Lineage: Bacteria; Bacillati; Actinomycetota; Actinomycetes; Kitasatosporales; Streptomycetaceae. The record is from RNAcentral.